This 406-nucleotide ribosomal RNA is filed under the name uncultured bacterium. Its description in RNAcentral is "partial 16S ribosomal RNA". It matches the Rfam family "Bacterial small subunit ribosomal RNA", at positions 29 to 526 of the family's 1533-position model. The record is from RNAcentral.
AUUGAACGCUGGCGGCAGGCCUAACACAUGCAAGUCGAGCGAGCGGCGGACGGGUGAGUAAUGUCUGGGAAACUGCCUGAUGGAGGGGGAAAAAUACUGGAAACGGUAGCUAAUAACGCAUACCAUCAGAUGUGCCCAGAUGGGAUUAGCUAGUUGGGGGGGUAACGGCGCACCUAGGAGACGAUCCCUAGCUGGUCUGAGAGGAUGACCAGCCACACUGGAACUGGGCCACGGUCCAGACGCCUACGGGAGGAAGCAUUGGGGAAGAUUGCAAAAUGGGCGCAAUCCUGAUGCAGCCAGGCCGCGUGUGGGAAGAAGGCCGUCGGGUUGUAAAGCACUUUCAGCGGGGAGGCGUUACCCGCAGAAGAAGCACCGGCUAACUCCGUGCCAGCAGCCGCGGUAAUUC